Molecule: ribosomal RNA, 1244 nt
Filed under: metagenome
Description: bacterial LSU rRNA
Rfam family: Bacterial large subunit ribosomal RNA
Source: RNAcentral
UGAAUACGAGACGCUAAGGCGUCGAAGUAGUGUAUGUCAUACUUCCAAGAAAAGCUUGCACUGUCAUAGAUAAAAAACGCCUGUACCAUAACCGACACAGGUGGGUAGGUAGAGUAUACUAAGGGGCGCGAGAUAACUCUCUCUAAGGAACUCGGCAAAAUAACUCCGUAACUUCGGGAGAAGGAGUGCCUUAUUCUUAAGGUUGCAAUAACAAGAUCCAAGCAACUGUUUAUCAAAAACACAGGUCUCCGCUAAGUCGUAAGACGAUGUAUGGGGGCUGACGCCUGCCCAGUGCCAGAAGGUUAAAGAAGCUGGUUAGCAUUUGCGAAGCUAGUAACUGAAGCCCUGGUGAACGGCGGCCGUAACGAUAACGGUCCUAAGGUAGCGAAAUUCCUUGUCGGGUAAGUUCCGACCCGCACGAAAGGCGUAAUGAUUUGGAUACUGUCUCGGAGAGGGGCUCGGUGAAAUAGACUUGUCUGUGAAGAUGCGGACUACCUGCACCAGGACAGAAAGACCCUAUGAAGCUUUACUGUAACUUGAAAUUGAAAUUGGACUUUAUUCGCGCAGUAUAGGUGGGAGGCGUUGAUUAUAAUCUUGCGGGAUUAUUGGAGCCAUUAGUGAGAUACCACUCUUGUAAUGUUAGAUUUCUAACUUUGAAUCAUUAUCUGGUGAAAGAACAGUUUCAGGCGGGCAGUUUGACUGGGGCGGUCGCCUCCUAAACGGUAACGGAGGCGUACAAAGGUUUCCUCUGAACGGUUAGAAAUCGUAUCUAGAGUGUAAAGGCAUAAGGAAGCUUGACUGUGAGACCUACAAGUCGAGCAGGGACGAAAGUCGGUCUUAGUGAUCUGACGGUACUGAGUGGAAAGGCCGUCACUCAACGGAUAAAAGUUACUCUAGGAUAACAGGCUGAUCUCCCCCAAGAGUUCACAUCGACGGGGAGGUUUGGCACCUUGAUGUCGGCUCAUCGCAUCCUGGGGCGGUAGUACGUCCCAAGGGUUGGGCUGUUCGCCCAUGAAAGCGGUACGCGAGCUGGGUUCAGAACGUCGUGAGACAGUUCGGUCCAUAUCCGGUGUAGGCGUUAGAAUAUUGAGAGGAGCCUUCUUUAGUACGAGAGGACCGAGAAGGACAUACCUCUGGUGUACCAGUUAUCGUGCCAACGGUAAACGCUGGGUAGCUAUGUAUGGAGUGGAUAACCGCUGAAAGCAUCUAAGUGGGAAGCCCACCUCAAGAUAAGUAUUCUCACC